GUACUCGCUUUGGCAGCACAUAUACUAAAAUUGAAAUGAUACAGAGAAAAUUAGCAUGUCCCCUGCACAGGGAAAUAAAAGAGUUGGGGCCUGGCUUC
RNAcentral lists this small nuclear RNA (98 nucleotides) under Aotus nancymaae (Ma's night monkey). Lineage: Eukaryota; Metazoa; Chordata; Mammalia; Primates; Aotidae. The record is from RNAcentral.